This 21-nucleotide ribosomal RNA is filed under the name Meloidogyne hapla. RNAcentral describes it as "partial 18S ribosomal RNA". Lineage: Eukaryota; Metazoa; Nematoda; Chromadorea; Rhabditida; Meloidogynidae. The record is from RNAcentral.
UGAACCUGCUGCUGGAUCAUU